RNAcentral lists this small RNA (42 nucleotides) under Arabidopsis thaliana (thale cress). RNAcentral's name for it is "ATSL071060". The record is from RNAcentral. Lineage: Eukaryota; Viridiplantae; Streptophyta; Magnoliopsida; Brassicales; Brassicaceae.
UUCUUCUUUUUUUGCCAGCCUUUUUUUUCUUCUUCUUCUGAU